GCGCCACAAGUCCAGGCUGUGAAUCGUCAUUCGUGUCGAAUUGUGGAAUGCCGGAAGGUUUGUCCAAGUAGUGCACCAAGUCCUCUGGAAUGGGGCAGCUUAGAGGGUGAUACUCCCGUGAGUGCCUAACUGUGAAAGCCUUUCCAAGAGUCGAGUUGUUUGGGAUUGCAGCUCUAAGUGGUUGGUAAAUUCCAUCCAAGACUAAAUACUGGUGGGAGACCGAUAGCGUACAAGUACCGUGAGGGAAAGAUGCAAAGCCGCGCGAGAGCGCUGUCAAAGAGUACCUGAAAUUGCUGAAAAGGAAGCGAAGGAAACCAGUGUUAGCCAACCUGCACUUCCCCAAUGGCUUGCCUUUGGGGCGC
This 362-nucleotide ribosomal RNA is filed under the name Surirella cf. bifrons ECR-2011. RNAcentral's name for it is "eukaryotic LSU rRNA". It matches the Rfam family "Eukaryotic large subunit ribosomal RNA", at positions 98 to 476 of the family's 3401-position model. Lineage: Eukaryota; Bacillariophyta; Bacillariophyceae; Surirellales; Surirellaceae. The record is from RNAcentral.